This is a non-coding RNA of Aegilops tauschii subsp. strangulata, 2530 nucleotides long. The record is from RefSeq and is a predicted model, not a curated record. NCBI's taxonomy places the organism in Eukaryota, Viridiplantae, Streptophyta, Magnoliopsida, Poales, Poaceae.
UAGAUGUGGAUGCCGAACCAGUUAACGGGAAGCGCAGCUCUCCGACUAUAUCUCAGCAAUCGAUGGGGAAGGUGAAUCCAGAGACUCCUGGAUGGACAAAAAGGGGAAGCAGGGUUAGAGAAUACACAGUCAUGCCGUUGUGAAUGCCCUGCACUGACCCAGUUGCUUAGGUCAGAGGACAAUGGUUUGUAAAUGUCUAAGCACAAGGAGAAAUACAAUCAUUCACUCUCUCCAAAUUGGCGGUUAACCGUUCACUGGCCGUCCCAAACACAUAGAUGUUUACAACAUAAUUAGGAGAUUUUUUGGUUAAAUAGAAAAGUCCCCUUCACUAAGCGAUCACUGAGAGCAUUGUGCAGGAACUUGGGUUGUGACCAAGCGGAUGAUGAUGUGAGGAAAACGAUGGAAUUAUUUAAGGAGUUGGGUGCCAACAAUCUGUGGUUCACAUAUCGAGUUCAAGCAGAUUUGGAGGGCCGAAUAAAAUGUUUGAUGUGGAUGAAUGGUAGCAGCCAUUUGCGACUACAGGCGUCUGCGUGGUUUACAGGCGAGAUGAACCCUAGAGCUCUUGGCUGGACACAACAGGUAACGAUUGGUGUGGCUGCGUAAAGGAGGACACCUUGUCCUAAUCGUCCAAGUUCGUUGGAGAAAGCAAUUCGUUGGUUCGCUGAGAAUCCAGGGAAAAAUGUGAUUGUACUGAAACUGGGUAUAAGAUUUGAUCUUUAGGUGAAGCAUACAACUUGUACUCCUGCGGGAAGGGGUUUGGUAUUACAUAUUGGAAAAGCAGACUAAAUGUUUAGAGGACAAAAUGCAGGCAGGAAAUCAUUUGCAGCUGUGCGGGAAGGCUGGCGUUGAGAACAGUCGGUCAUGCCAUUGUGAGUGUUGGGCUCUUAUACGAUUGUUGCGAUCGAAAGGCAAUGGUUGGUGCAUAUCAGAGCAUCGGGAGCAACACAUCCAAUCUUUGUCUCCUAAUUGCGGAGAGACAAUACACUGCCUUCACACAAACACAUCGACGUUUACAACCGGGACUGGUGAAGCAGCUACGGCAAAAUAACGUCAAUCUAGCCAAGGUAUACAACAUCAUAGAGAGUUUUUUCACCAAGCGAGCUCUCCAUAAUUUGUGUGGGGAAAUAAACCAUGAGCAGGCAUAGGACGAUGUGAGCAAAACUAUGUAGGUUUUCACUGAACUGGGUGCAAAGGAUCGACAUUUCACGUAUCUUGUGCAGGCUGAUAAGGAAGGGUGAAUCAGUAAAAUUUGGGUGAAUGGGAGCAGUAGAUUGCAGUAAAAUUUUGAGGAUAACACAAAAAAAUCAAAAUUUUAACAACAAGGGCAGGAGGUUUGCCCAAGCUGUGUAGUGUAUAAGCAGGGGGGUGAGGGGUAGGUGAGGGGCACACUCUGAUUUCAGUCAUCCACGUGAAGCUGUAGUUGGAAUAAGAUCAAGUUUCAGUGGGAGGUGAAAUAGAGUGAAUGGCUCUGACCGACUUAUCUAGCGCCUCCUCUGUGGCUACGGGUUUCAAAAUAUACUGAACUGAUUAUAGAUGAUUCUGAUUAACAGCUGUAAGUUUAGAGCAUUAGCUCAGUUCCUGUGUAUUGUGUUGAUAUUUUGUAACCUGAAUGUGAUGUGACGGUGUUGGAAGCGGAUGUAUCAGAAUCAUCUUUGAACCGGCGUGGCAGUCAGUGCAGUUUCAGGUGUCUCCGAUGGGUCAUUGCAGGUACUAUGCCUGGCUUUAGGUGCAACUGUGUGUAAUGUACAAUAAUAUAUUAUAAUGUAAUAAAUCGUCAUGUGUGAACGAACGCCUUUGGAACAGAAUCAUAGCUUUAACAGCGCACAUCGUGAGCGAAAAUCGGAGCCGGCCUAUCCCAUAGAUAACGGCGUCGACUUUAAUAGUUGUCAGAGUGGGCCAGAUGUGGGCCAUCGGCUCUUAAAAAAAGUCGGUAUACAAAAGUUAUACCUGGGCCUAUACAUGUCGGGGUGGUAAUCUCGAAGGGGCUGAACGGGAGCGAUAACGAGAGCAUGUGUGCGCGAGCGCAGAAGAGGACUUUCGUACUGUCCGUUUGAUCUCCUUAUUAGUUAAUAUCAGCCGUGAGAUGUACUACACAGUCCUUGCGUGAUAUCCCACAUAUACCUCCUUAAAGGAAUAUUUUAGUUUAGCCUUACGGUCUUAAUUGUAGAGCUACGAUCUAAUAAGGAUGGCAGCAUUUUUUCCUAAAAAAAAUGGAAGAAAUUUGUUGCGUGGACGUGAGAGUCCUAAUAGAUUACAAUUGGUAGUUAUCCUAAAAAAUCAGAUUACAAUAGGCAUUUGGGUGCAACACGUAUUGCUCUCCUUCCUAACUCUCUUCCCAUAAACCUUACAUACAACUGAAAAGAAAAAAAACAUCUCUGAUUCUUACGUCCUCCACAAGUCCUCUUUCCUAUUCAAUUCGUCCCACCUCCCAUGCGUGGACAAAUAGAGAAAUUAUCUCAAUGUAUGCCGUCAGCUAGAUCUUAUUGGGAAAACUCCAUCCGGUAGGCAUAUUUCUAACCCAACUCCCAUU